GUGAGGCGGGGCUGCUGCCGGACUCCUGCCGGGCGGGGCCCGGCCGCCGGAGCAAGCGCCGCUCUCGAAGGGGGCGGAGGGCGGAUAAAUAAAGGGGUGUUGUGGUGUCAGGAGGAAUAGAGGGAUAUGGUGGAAGUCGAAAGUCACGGGCGGCGCUUAGAGGAGGUCAGCUGGAAGGGGCAUACAAGCAUCGCCUGGCCCCUCCAGGGCUGACCACAAGCCGAAGCGUGUCACCGAGGGCAUUGCCCAAACGUCCCCAGGGCACUGACAGGCACGGGGCACCACCAGGUAGCUUCUCCAGGAAGCCCGUCCCGGUGUGUGACCACCCUCAUGGCACUGACAUUUCUCCUCAUACCCAGCCUGGCGCAGCUCUGAGCCCUUCCCUCAUGUUCGAGCUCUGUUACCACCAGAAGAAAACUGCGUUUUACACCUGGGCAGAAUUCAGAGCAAAUAAAGCAGUCCACUAAAACCAAGCUUCAUCAGCUUAAAUCUAUCUGUGCUAUUAGGCUUGUGCCGGAGACAGGAGCUGUGGUAAGAAGCCCUCCUGCCGUCUUGGGGCUGACAGGGGCUUCGUGCCACCACGCUGUUAUCUCCGAGCUCCCACUUUCUGCUGCCUCCCACAUACAGAGCAAGCUCCAUCUCUGCAGUUCGCAAUAAGGUUUUUUCAGCUGUUUAACAUCAUAUCCAACCCACCCACGUGGAAAAAAUCUUCAACAGUCACAGAUAUUUUGACAAAAGAAAAAAAAAAAAGGUUGAAAAUCAGGCAGCAACAGCAGUGACAAUAGUCUGGCCUAAUCACUCCAUCCUGUUAAGCUCCUUCCAGCCGCUCAAAUAAUUGACUCUUCAAAACAAAAAGGAAACAUUUCCAUAGGCCCAGGGAGCAUUAAGCUUUCCCCAGGAUACUGAGAAAUGUAAUAAAAAUAUACUGCCUUGUCAAAAGCCUGGGUCAUUAUGUCCAAGCAAUACAGAAAAGAGUGAACUACAAACUAUUACUCCUUACCAUUUUUUGAUGUUUAUUUAUUCUCCCAGGCACUUCAGUGCAGGAAAACUGAAGUUCCCAGUAACUAACUGAAAAGUGGCUGAAGCAGCAGAAAGCUCUUUACAGUUCCAGUUUUCCUCACUGGCAGUUUCCAGUUCUCCUGGUGCCCCUGAUGUACUCUGGGCAGGCCUAAUCCUCAAUCAGUUUUGCUAUAUUCUCAAACUGCGUUUUCUGCAGAUAUUUCCGUUAGGGAGGAUUUCUAAACUUAAUGCAUUUUGUUCACACCUGAGUCCAUCAAGAUGUUCACAUUUUUGAAAGAUCGGAGUUAAAAAAAACUAACUUGUUACAUCAGUUGUAUUUGCAAUGGUGCAGUUCCUCUGAAUUACCUCAGGGUGCAUUCAUCUGCAGAAUUCAUUUAAAUAUUUUUCAUAUAAUGACCCCGGUACUCACACUACACACGCUGACAGCUUUCUCCUUGCUACAUCCGUCUCAUGUGAGUUUAGGAGUCCUCAUCCUUCAGUGGCCUGCUUAAGCCCUCUGCUGGACACUUGCUUUGUGGCUCAAAUAUUAACAAGGAUACCUCAGCCAAGUCUGUAAUCUGCAAUUUAUUUAUUUUUUUACAUCUUGUCUUUCUGUCCGCAAGGAACAGAAGACAUCUUGCCCAUCUUCCAUAUAAUAUUCAUUACAUCUCCAUGCGGUGAACUCUCAGCCAUCUGUAUACAGCAUGCCCAUGCCAUAAGCAGCUUGGGUCCAGCCGCAGUUUCAGCUAACAUGCAGGAGAGGAGUGACAGUAGUCCUACCUUGCUGUGGGCACUGGGACAUCUGCAUUGCCUUCCCCAGGGCUCCAGCACUUCCUAGCACCAAAGGACGGACACCUCAGGGAGGCGAUACAUCCUGCCCCUCCGAAACAAGUGGAAGCAAUUUGUCCCUACUGAGGUUUGUGAUUUAGGUAAGCCAUAAAGAAUUCCUCGGCGUCCAGCUGGGCUCAUGAGCACUGGCUCGGUGUUAGUUACGCUGGAAUUGGAGCGGAUCCUACAAAGACAACAGCAUAUCUCUGUGCCAUAGUGCCUUUGGGUUUGGGGAGGCGAUACCAGCUCUGCUACAGGGCAGCACAAAGCCAGGCAAAGUGGUUUAGCCAAUAGACCAAAUAUUUAUUUCAAUGGCUAGGACUGCGUGAGUAGCCUUUUCCAAGGGUGCACAAGCAAGUUGUAGUACAGCAUAGCUGCAAAGUCCCAGCCCACUGCUCCAGGUGCUGAGCUGCUUCUGUAUCAGCAGCCAAUAAUAAAAAGUGGAAGACAGAUUUUGAGCCUCUGAAUCUGCCAGAGUAGUGAUGUUUGCUACAGUCCCAACUCCCAGGGUAAGAAGACUAGAGGAACUUUUCCAUGAUUAUUUUUCGCUUUUAUCAGUAAUGUGUUGACUAGAGAAGAUGAAGCUGAACUAUUUAUUGAGCUCUUAUAAUUGCUGUAAUUUUAAAAAUUAACAAGACCGUCCUGAGAAGAGUUCUCUUUGUGAAUCAAAAUAAGUGAUUAAAUAUAGAGUGUAAUGACAUGAUAUGCCUUUCCAGAACCUCUGGUAAUCCAGAUGAAACGAAACUAUAUUGUCAUCUGUUAAAAUAACAGGAUAAUCUGCAAUCUUCUUUUCUAGACUGUAGGUUAAAUGUCAAACCCUGGGGUGUUUAAUUUCCUGCUCUGAUCAAAAAUAACCAUACAGUCCUGUCCUAUGCAUCCCAUCUUUUCAUUGUGCAGGUCACAACAAAAUUCCAUCUCUUACUACAGAGCUGUGAAGUUUGUAAUAAGCCCUCUAAAUAUUCAAAUAAAUUCAAGACAGUUCCUUUUUGCAUGCUAUUGCAGACCAAGACAGACUUUUUUGAUUCAGAAGCCAAGCCAAAGAUCUGUUAUGACAGCUAAAUGCCUGCUAGAUAUUUUGCGGCAUCUUCCAGUGUGCCUCAUAAAGAUGCAAAAUUAUCUCUUUGUGGGAAUCAACUACAAAAUGAAUAGUUUCAUAAAUGACUUAGAAAAAGCUACUGAUAAUUGGAGUUCCACGGGGUGACUCUGCCCCUGUCAAAGUCGAGUAGAGCUUUGUCCUUGAUUCAGCAGGAGUGAGAUCAGUCCUAGCAUGGGACAGUCUGCUUCAAAACCCACCUAGAAGUUUUACGUGCAGCUCUCCUCUCUGAAGUCCAGAGCCAGGCUUCAAGUCCUGCCCAUGAGCACAGAGCCGCUUAAUGCUUCUCAGUAGUUCCCACAAUAUAAACUGUACCCUGUACUUGUAUACUCGACGCUCACCGAGUGCUUUACAUGCUUGCAUUUCAAAAUGCGCCUUCAGCUACAUCAGGAUUGCCUGCCGGUCCUACAUCCCCGUUCAACGGAUGGGAAACUUGAGAAACUGAGACGUACUGCACACCCAUCAUCCAGUAAGACAGUGGCAGAGACAGGACAAUAGCUUCAAGCAUGCCUGGUUCUCAGUUCAGUGCUCUAGCCAAUAGCUCAUAUUGUUUUUGAGGUUUUGCAUAACUUUGUAUUAAUCCACGCUGUGUAAAUGUGAUGGCUUUUUAUUAAAAACUUUUCGGACAAUACCUUGUCAUCGCGUGAUAAGUUACCCACAAGACCAGUGUAAAGUAUAAGGCAAGUUUAGUGAAAUCUA
Long non-coding RNA from Cygnus olor (mute swan), 3619 nucleotides. RefSeq lists it as uncharacterized. The transcript is spliced from 3 exons. Lineage: Eukaryota; Metazoa; Chordata; Aves; Anseriformes; Anatidae. The record is from RefSeq and is a predicted model, not a curated record.